AAGUCGUAACAAGGUAACCGUAGGUGAACCUGCGGUUGGAUCAUUAAAAGUUGUAGCAGACCGAUGAGACUCUAGAUGUCGAGUCGGAUCCUGUGAGUACUUAAUCUUGUGAACUGUUAGAAGCGCGUAAUGGCGUUUAGCCUAACUUGCGUCAGAUCUUUGUUGGUCAGUCGUAGGUUGGGCCUUGCCCUGAGGAUGGUAACGGGUUUGCGAGUUGCACCUUAACCGGUGCUCUCGUAGGUCUCUGCGGUGAAGGGUGUUAUCCCUAGCUGCUUAGGCGUGUGUCCUGUUAGGGACACUAGUGUUUGUCGCAUUUUUAUGCCACAAAUGCCGUCCAUCCUCCAUUUGAACUAGUGUUUUUCGUUUUGGUCAUGAUUGUAUACUGCCCAGCAGUGUAAUACAAAACAAUUUCUGACAACGGAUCUCUAGGCUCUC
This 435-nucleotide unclassified non-coding RNA is filed under the name fungal sp. Its description in RNAcentral is "partial internal transcribed spacer region". The stretch from base 1 to 46 matches the Rfam family "Eukaryotic small subunit ribosomal RNA", at positions 1786 to 1831 of the family's 1831-position model. Lineage: Eukaryota; Fungi. The record is from RNAcentral.